CAACCUGCCCACCACUUGGGGAUAACCUUGCGAAAGUAAGACUAAUACCCAAUGACGUCUCUAGAAGACAUCUGAAGGAGAUUAAAGAUUUAUCGGUGAUGGAUGGGGAUGCGUCUGAUUAGCUUGUUGGCGGGGUAACGGCCCACCAAGGCGACGAUCAGUAGGGGUUCUGAGAGGAAGGUCCCCCACAUUGGAACUGAGACACGGUCCAAACUCCUACGGGAGGCAGCAGUGAGGAAUAUUGGUCAAUGGACGAGAGUCUGAACCAGCCAAGUAGCGUGCAGGAUGACGGCCCUAUGGGUUGUAAACUGCUUUUAUAAGGGAAUAAAGUGAGAGUCGUGACUCUUUUUGCAUGUACCUUAUGAAUAAGGACCGGCUAAUUCCGUGCCAGCAGCCGCGGUAAUACGGAAGGUCCGGGCGUAAUCCGGAUUUAUUGGGUUUAAAGGGAGCGUAGGCCGGAGAUUAAGCGUGUUGUGAAAUGUAGGUGCUCAACAUCUGAACUGCAGCGCGAACUGGUUUCCUUGAGUACGCACAAAGUGGGCGGAAUUCGUGGUGUAGCGGUGAAAUGCUUAGAUAUCACGAAGAACUCCGAUUG
Molecule: ribosomal RNA, 595 nt
Filed under: uncultured Bacteroidota bacterium
Lineage: Bacteria; Pseudomonadati; Bacteroidota
Description: bacterial SSU rRNA
Rfam family: Bacterial small subunit ribosomal RNA
Source: RNAcentral